This 253-nucleotide ribosomal RNA is filed under the name uncultured bacterium. Its description in RNAcentral is "partial 16S ribosomal RNA". It matches the Rfam family "Bacterial small subunit ribosomal RNA", at positions 524 to 776 of the family's 1533-position model. The record is from RNAcentral.
UACGUAGGGGGCAAGCGUUGUCCGGAAUCACUGGGCGUAAAGCGCGCGCAGGCGGUCAUCUACGUCUGGGGUGAAAGCCCGGAGCUCAACUCCGGGAUUGCCUUGGAUACGGGGUGACUUGAGGAUCGGAGAGGCAAGGGGAAUUCCACGUGUAGCGGUGAAAUGCGUAGAGAUGUGGAGGAACACCUGUGGCGAAGGCGCCUUGCUGGCCGAUUUCUGACGCUGAGGCGCGAAAGCGUGGGGAGCAAACAGG